GGUCCUAUCGUCUAACGGUUAGGACACCAGGUUCUCAUCCUGGCAAUUCGAGUUCGAUUCUCGAUAGGAUCACCA
This 75-nucleotide transfer RNA is filed under the name Patescibacteria group bacterium. Its description in RNAcentral is "tRNA-Glu". It matches the Rfam family "tRNA". From Rfam's summary of the family: Transfer RNA (tRNA) molecules are approximately 80 nucleotides in length. RNAcentral also lists the same sequence under 1 other name. The record is from RNAcentral.